Cyprinus carpio carpio is the source of this 746-nucleotide long non-coding RNA. The record is from Ensembl. Lineage: Eukaryota; Metazoa; Chordata; Actinopteri; Cypriniformes; Cyprinidae.
GUCAGUGUGUGUGUGUGUGUGUGAAUGCUUACUGGACGCCCUGUCCGAGUCUUUACUGUGAACUGUGAUGAAUUCAUUGGAAACCACAUGCGUGUAAACACAGCGGGUUGCACAACACGUGUAGUGCAUUUACUGUAAACUGCGGCUCAGGACGCUCUGAAUGGAGUCCAGGAAGCCCGUAAUUUUACAUGUGUCCUUUGCACCACGCUUGUGACUCGGGUGGAAAUGGGUGUCAAAGGGAGGGGCGGAGCCAGCUAAUGGUUACACUGAGUUAAACAAAUGAGCAGAGGGGGCGAGUCACAGAGGGGGUGGAGCCAGAGCCACAAACAGACACACCCACACAAGCAAAGUGAUUAUCUCAGUGGAAAAAUGGUCCAGAUGUCUCCUGCAUCCCUGCAGAUUCAUGUUCUCUUUUUUUUUAAGUAUCACAGCAGGAGUGGUCCGGAAUGACCUAGAUCUGUAAAGGAGCGACGGCGGGACGUGCUGAGACGCUUACAGACAGAAAUACUGCUUAUUUUAGUGUUCCACAUGCAAUUUUACGUAAAAAGUUUUUAUUAGACUCACUGUAAUUCAUUGUUGGUCAUAUUUAGUAUUCAACCAAUAAAGGGCAUGAUAUCAGCUGCUGUAAUGUCUAUAUACUGUAUGUAAUACAACAAAAUCACAAGAGACAGGCACAAAAUUUAUGCAUUUACUUGUAAUUAUUAAAUCAUUCACUUAAAAUGUAUAAUUCGCUUUCAAGUCAAAAU